UCUCAGUUCGGAUUGUAGUCUGCAACUCGACUACAUGAAGCUGGAAUCGCUAGUAAUCGCGAAUCAGAAUGUCGCGGUGAAUACGUUCCCGGGUCUUGUACACACCGCCCGUCACACCAUGGGAGUCAGUAACGCCCGAAGCCGGUGACCCAACCAAACGGAGGGAGCCGUCGAAGGUGGGACCGAUAACUGGGGUGAAGUCGUAACAAGGUAAC
RNAcentral lists this ribosomal RNA (215 nucleotides) under uncultured bacterium. Its description in RNAcentral is "partial 16S ribosomal RNA". It matches the Rfam family "Bacterial small subunit ribosomal RNA", at positions 1286 to 1500 of the family's 1533-position model. The record is from RNAcentral.